Molecule: transfer RNA, 64 nt
Filed under: Monacha cartusiana
Lineage: Eukaryota; Metazoa; Mollusca; Gastropoda; Stylommatophora; Hygromiidae
Description: tRNA-Trp
Rfam family: tRNA
About the family: Transfer RNA (tRNA) molecules are approximately 80 nucleotides in length. Their secondary structure includes four short double-helical elements and three loops (D, anti-codon, and T loops). Further hydrogen bonds mediate the characteristic L-shaped molecular structure. tRNAs have two regions of fundamental functional importance: the anti-codon, which is responsible for specific mRNA codon recognition, and the 3' end, to which the tRNAs corresponding amino acid is attached (by aminoacyl-tRNA synthetases). tRNAs cope with the degeneracy of the genetic code in two manners: having more than one tRNA (with a specific anti-codon) for a particular amino acid; and 'wobble' base-pairing, i.e. permitting non-standard base-pairing at the 3rd anti-codon position.
Source: RNAcentral
GGGAAAUUAGGUUAGAAUAAACCAUUAGCCUUCAAAGCUGAAAACUGCUAAAUGUAAUUUCCCG